RNAcentral lists this ribosomal RNA (440 nucleotides) under uncultured bacterium. Its description in RNAcentral is "partial 16S ribosomal RNA". It matches the Rfam family "Bacterial small subunit ribosomal RNA", at positions 338 to 795 of the family's 1533-position model. The record is from RNAcentral.
CCUACGGGAGGCAGCAGUGGGGAAUAUUGCACAAUGGGGGGAACCCUGAUGCAGCAACGCCGCGUGGGUGAAGAAGUACUUUGGUAUGUAAAGCCCUGUCAGCAGGGAAGAAAAUGACGGUACCUGACCAAGAAGCCCCGGCUAACUACGUGCCAGCAGCCGCGGUAAUACGUAGGGGGCAAGCGUUAUCCGGAUUUACUGGGUGUAAAGGGAGCGUAGACGGCAAGGCAAGUCUGGAGUGAAAGCCCGUGGCUCAACCACGGGACUGCUUUGGAAACUGUGUAGCUGGAGUGCAGGAGGGGUAAGCGGAAUUCCUAGUGUAGCGGUGAAAUGCGUAGAUAUUAGGAGGAACACCGGUGGCGAAGGCGGCUUACUGGCCUGUAACUGACGUUGAGGCUCGAAGGCGUGGGGAGCAAACAGGAUUAGAUACCCCGGUAGUC